UAACAACUAGUUUGGCCCCACGUGGUUGGUGGAACUGCAUGCAACCUAAUUUUGCUUAGAACUGCUUGCUUCUGUUGAAAUAUCUGGCCAAAUCAUGCAACCUAAUUUUUUCAAAUUUGUUUCUGUGAUCGACUUCGUUUCCGGUGAAUCUGGGUAAUUAUUCUUCUUCUUCUUUUCACUUUCCUAAUAUGCUACUUUUUCGUUUUUGGGUUUAUUAUAAUUGAUGAUGAUUUGAUUCUGGUGUGCUACAAUUAAUAUAGGCUUAGUGAUAUAUACGAAAGUUCAUCGGAUUAUAGGCUUAGAUGGGGUGAUCUUUUCCAUUCUUCGCUUCAAUUGCUUGCUUUUCUAACUAUUGCUGCAUCCCAUUCUGAUUUUGAGUUGUUAUGAUCUGGAGCAACAAAAUAAACUAACAAAAGGUGACAUACACGA
This 429-nucleotide long non-coding RNA is filed under the name Panax ginseng (ginseng). RNAcentral's name for it is "long non-coding RNA (PGIN_LNC015459)". The record is from RNAcentral. Lineage: Eukaryota; Viridiplantae; Streptophyta; Magnoliopsida; Apiales; Araliaceae.